UGCUUCUUCUGAUGGCGACCGGCGCACGGGUGCGUAACGCGUAUCCAAUCUACCGCAUACUCGGGGAUAGCCUUGCGAAAGUAAGAUUAAUACCCGAUGUUGUGUAUUGCCCGCAUGGGCGAUGUACCAAAGAAUUUCGGUAUGCGAUGAGGAUGCGUCCCAUUAGGUAGUUGGUGAGGUAACGGCUCACCAAGCCUCCGAUGGGUAGGGGUUCUGAGAGGAAGAUCCCCCACACUGGAACUGAGACACGGUCCAGACUCCUACGGGAGGCAGCAGUGAGGAAUAUUGGUCAAUGGGCGAGAGCCUGAACCAGCCAAGUAGCGUGCAGGAUGACGGCCCUCUGGGUUGUAAACUGCUUUUAUACGGGGGUAAAAAACGCCACGUGUGGCGUCUUGCAAGUACCGUAAGAAAAAGGACCGGCUAAUUCCGUGCCAGCAGCCGCGGUAAUACGGAAGGUUCGGGCGUUAUCCGGAUUUAUUGGGUUUAAAGGGAGCGUAGGCGGGUGUUUAAGUCAGCUGUGAAAGUUUGAGGCUCAACCUUAAAAUUGCAGUUGAUACUGGAUACCUUGAGUGUGCGC
This 577-nucleotide ribosomal RNA is filed under the name uncultured Bacteroides sp. Its description in RNAcentral is "bacterial SSU rRNA". It matches the Rfam family "Bacterial small subunit ribosomal RNA", at positions 73 to 653 of the family's 1533-position model. The record is from RNAcentral. Lineage: Bacteria; Pseudomonadati; Bacteroidota; Bacteroidia; Bacteroidales; Bacteroidaceae.